UCGGCCUCCCUGCCGAAGCGGCGGCCUUUCAGGCCCUAGAUCCGGCCCGGCCUCAAGAGGCGACCUCCGUUCGGGCCCAUCCAAGCCGGGCCGCAUCCAGCCCGCCGCCUCCCUCUCCCUCUGCCCGGCGUCCACGACCCGCAGCGUCCGCCCGGGGUGAGCGGGGCGCCGCGUCUCACCGAAUUUAAGGCGAAGAGGAAAGAGCCAGAAAUCCCCGAUGUACCGGCAACUGCGGCGGUGUCUCCUCUGCGACCGGAACUAACGCCAGGAGGAGGGAGAGGAGCAUUACAUCAAGUCUUUGGGUUUAAAACAUUUUUUGGAUGAGAGGAGGCUGGAUGUUCCUGGCUCCUGGGGCAUGGGACUGUGUCAUUCCCUUCAAUUGACAACUGUGAAAAGAAGGCCAUUCGAACCCAUUCUGGCGUUGCUGGGCUCUUCACCGUGAAGUCCUCAGCUAUGUCUCUUUCUCUUCGCACUGCGGCCACAGCGUCAGCAAUGGCAAAGAACACAGAUGACCCCAGGAACAUCCCAGACUCCCCGAGGCCCUGUAAGAAGGCACAUUGGUGUAAGAAACUUCCAUACUACACUACAAGUUUCUAGAGGGUAGGGGCCAGGUCUCGUUCACCAUUGUGUCCCCAACCCCUGCACAGUGUUUUGUACACAAAAUCUUCUCAAUAAAUGUUUGUUGGCUGACUU
Molecule: long non-coding RNA, 693 nt
Filed under: Homo sapiens (human)
Lineage: Eukaryota; Metazoa; Chordata; Mammalia; Primates; Hominidae
Description: HSALNT0308321
Source: RNAcentral